This 3237-nucleotide long non-coding RNA is filed under the name Trifolium pratense (red clover). Its description in RNAcentral is "long non-coding RNA (TPRA_LNC013901)". The record is from RNAcentral. Lineage: Eukaryota; Viridiplantae; Streptophyta; Magnoliopsida; Fabales; Fabaceae.
UUGAAAAUAAAAUAUUUUCACAUUAUAGUGUCUUACAAUUAUCCUCAUAACGAAAUGACAUAUAUAAUAUUUUCUCAAGAACAUAUUAUUAAACUCGGCCCUGAUGUAAAAAUAUCAGAGCCUUGCAACACAAUUUAAACUUACAAAAUAAUCCAACAAACUUUAAAGAACACCAUAACAUAGGAGAGAGAAUAAUCCUCCACUUUAUUCUCGUGAACAAACACCUCGAUACUACAACUGAGUCUUGUCUUGAGGAUAGUUAUAACGGCCUGUAUAGAGAACCAGAUAGAAUUCUUGGAGUGAGAUAAAUUUUAAAUCAUUUAAAGUGUUAUAAAAUUGCAGUGAAUAGAAACAAACACACAAAGAUACAUUCCAAACAUCAAACGAUCUAAGGUGUAAAUAUAAUUGUAAAAUAUAUGUAAUGUGGAUGCACUUGUACUCGUUAUGCAUGUUGUUCCAAUAACUUAGACUCAAAAAAGUAUAUUAUAGGAGGACAUGGUCAAUUAAAGAAAAAUAACACCCUUCCAAGCUUAAUAAGUAUGUCUUAACAUCAAAAGGAUCAUCAUUAUUCAUUGGUGUUUCCACACUGAUGCUUAAUCAUCUCCGAGACUAAGUUAAUGAACCAAACGGGUUCCUUUGCCGUCCAUUUAUUUAAAAUUUUGCCUCACACGUUAAACAACCUUUGUAUCGAUGCAUGUUUCACAAAACAAAAUAUAAACAAACAUCAUCCUAUAAUUCACGUCGAAAAAUUAAUACAAUAUACACCUUUCACAAGCAGGCCCGGCCCUGAGCUAUGACCAAGGGUGCCACGGCCUGAGGCCUAGGGGGCCAAUUUUUCUAAUACCUACCUACUAUUAAAAAAACAAAUUAAUUCUGCUGAAAUAAAAAAUCAAUUAUGCUUAAAGAAAGAAAACGUGACAAUUGAGGAAUUGAAGACACUUAAAAGUAUCUAUUAAUUUUUAUAGGGAUGAUAAUGGGUUGAAAGAAUGUUGUGUUAAAUUUCACUCAAUCUUUUUUCAUGGUACUUUAUCAUAUGUUGAUGUAGAUUGAUAUAUUCUCUGAGUGUUACAAUUUGCUUAUUAUUAUUCGAAUAACAAUUCCUAUAACUGAUAGUGCAUGUGACUGUAGCAUCGGCGGAAAGAAGCUUUUUAAAAUUGAAGUUAAUUAAAACCUACUUGAGAUCGUUUGAUAACUUUGUCAAUUGAGAAAUAUAUCUUGGAGGACAUUGAUGUCUAUGCGAUUAUCAAUGAUUUUGCAUUUCAAAAUUGUCGACGAAAUCACGUCUUAUGAAUUUUCAAGUAUUUUUUUUUAUAUUUUAUAAAACUAUUAUUAUGUAUUAAUGUAUAUUAUAUUAAAUGGAAUAAGUUUUUUUUUCCUUAUAUUUGGCCUAAGACCCAUAAAAUAUCGAGAACGAGACUAUUCACCUUAGCACAAUCCUUUACUCUCGUGAGCAUGGUGUUGUUCACGAUAAAAUUAUAUGCAACACAUACAAUCACAAUGUUGGUAUUUUGCCUUUGAUUUGAUGUAGUUUUAGGUUUUGAAUCAGAGCACCACACGGGGCGUGGCCCUGGCUCACGUGAGGAACAAUUGAAGUGCUUGGUUGGGGUUUGAAUGUUGUCCACCACGCGGGGAGUGCCACUGUUCACGCGGGGCGUGGCACUGUUCACACGAGGCGUGAGACUGCUGUAUAAAAAUGCAUAAUCAGUUUUUGCAGCCGCCAGGAAGAGAGAGAAAGUGGAAUUUUAGGGUUUUUUGAUCCAAUAUCAAGUCUAGGAGCAAGAGGGUUUAUCUUGGGUUAUUUCUAGUGUUUGGAUCUCUUUUCUUUCACCUUGUAAUCACUUAUUGAUUGAAUCUCUUGGUCACGGGGAAGAUAUUCGGGAAAAUGGUAGAUUUAGGAAAACUCUAAAUCUUGUAACUCUUUGUGGUUGAACCUUUUCUAAUUAAGUUUUCAUUGAUAGUGGAACGGAGAGCUUUCUCUCCCCCAUACUAGGUUGUUAUAUCCGAACUGUGUAAACAAAUUAUUCGUGUUAUUUAUCGCUUUUGGUAGUUUAGAUUUUUUUGAUUUAUUGCUCAUUCAUUUUGAUUUGGUUGUAGGGAUGACAAUUUGACUCAUACCCAGAGGGUACCCGCAAAAAUUACCCACAACGGGUAGGGUAAAAACCCGCAUUUUGGGUACGGGCACGGAUAUGAGUAAUUACCCGCAAAAAUUAACGGGUAUGGGUGCGGGUACGGGUACCUUAAUUAGUACCCACCCCGCCCCAUACCCACAUAAUAUAUAUUUAUUUUAUUUAUAUUAUUAUAUAAUAAUAUAUGUAAAUCAAUUUUANNNNNNNNNNNNNNNNNNNNNNNNNNNNNNNNNNNNNNNNNNNNNNNNNNNNNNNNNNNNNNNNNNNNNACAUAAAUAUGAACUUUAACAUAAGGUUAGUAAUAAUUUUGUUUAUAAUUUUCAUGAGUCAAUAAUAAAAUCUUUGAAAUUUUUUUAAUUCUAUUAAGAUUAUAUGAUAUUUUAUAAUUAAUCAAUUUAUUUUUAGUAAAAGUACGGGUAACGGGUACGGGUAUGGGUACCUAGGUACCCAUAUGGUAUGGGGACGUGGGGAAAAGUUGUUACCCACGCUGGUAUGGGGAUGGGUACGGGUAUUUUUUCAAUCCGCGAGUAUGGGGAUGGGUACUAUAGUACCCUACCCAUACCCUACUCAUUGUCAUCCCUAUUUGGUUGCUUCAAUUUAUUUGUCCCACACAUCAAAGUAUUAUUAGUGUAGUUUUCGGUUCGAAUUCACAACACACAAGAACAACCUUAUUAAUUUAUAUAUGUAUAUAUGUCAAGCAACGAAAAUGGAAUGACAUUAUAGAUAAAUCAUAUUUACUUUAUGGUCUGCAACCGCAAAAACCUCUAACGCAGUGUAGUCUUGAAUUUAAAUCACAAUGAGGACACUUGUUUAUGCACUCAUAGUCAUGAGUGCAGCUUAUUCUUUCUCUUAUUGGUCUUUCUGUAAUAUAAAAUAACAAUAUAGAAAUAUAACUAAAAUUGGUGAAAGAUUGUGUAUAAAAUUAAAAAAAAAAUUAAAAAAUACGAGAAAGAGCUUACGGCUAUCAACGGCUACAACGAGCAAUAAAGAAAUAAAAAGGAUCAUAGUAUAAACAAACUUGAAAGUUUCACCCAUUUUUUAACCUUUGCAUGUAAAAUAUAUAAAGUGGUUUGAUCACUAUAUAUAGUAAAAAUAUGUUGCUAUGUUUACG